RNAcentral lists this unclassified non-coding RNA (635 nucleotides) under Hevea brasiliensis (rubber tree). Lineage: Eukaryota; Viridiplantae; Streptophyta; Magnoliopsida; Malpighiales; Euphorbiaceae. The record is from RNAcentral.
AAAUUCAGCAAUUAUUGGAAAGGUGUGGUUUUAUCUUUUUGGUUCCUGAUUGUGCAGAUUAUUAUGAAUCUAUUUGACGAACUGUUUUAUGAAGCUAUGCUUAUUAUUGUGAAGAUGGUUAAGUUUUCAUUUGAACAUUAUAAGUAGGAUACUAUGGCUGUUAAUCUGCAGCAACUAGUAGUGCCUGUGAUUAUUAGUGGUUUUUGAAGAUUAUGUCAUCUUUGGAACAGGGUUUGUGUUUGAAGCUUGUCUAUGACUUGCAUAGUGGAAAAUAACUUUUUGUGUGAAUAGUCAUAACAUGGAAGCUUAUUAGUUUUUUCAAUUUUAUUAUGGAAGAUUUUACCUGUUAUAAGUAGGCUGCCAUGUUAUGCAAUCAAACUCAAUCCUUAAUAGAAUUCGCUGAUUCAUGAAAGUGAUGUUUAUGAAAAUGCUGAAGUUGCUUGAACCUAGUAUGACAAAAAAAAUUCACUCCUUAUCAUAUACCUGGAGUUUUAUAUUGUUGUUUAUUGUUUUGGACCGUUAGACUUGUUCAUUCCAUCAAUUAAUUUGCAACUAGUGGAAGAGCCAUAUUAGUACCAUCAGCCUCCAAGCUUGGCACUGCAAUUGGUACUGCUCCCAUUAAAUAUCAAUGUUGC